AUUGAACGCUGGCGGCAUGCUUUACACAUGCAAGUCGAACGGCAGCACGGGGCAACCUGGUGGCGAGUGGCGAACGGGUGAGUAAUACAUCGGAACGUGCCCAAUCGUGGGGGAUAACGUAGCGAAAGUUACGCUAAUACCGCAUACGAUCUACGGAUGAAAGCGGGGGAUCGCAAGACCUCGCGCGAAUGGAGCGGCCGAUGUCAGAUUAGGUAGUUGGUGGGGUAAAGGCUCACCAAGCCGACGAUCUGUAGCUGGUCUGAGAGGACGACCAGCCACACUGGGACUGAGACACGGCCCAGACUCCUACGGGAGGCAGCAGUGGGGAAUUUUGGACAAUGGGCGCAAGCCUGAUCCAGCCAUGCCGCGUGCGGGAAGAAGGGCC
RNAcentral lists this ribosomal RNA (385 nucleotides) under uncultured bacterium. Its description in RNAcentral is "bacterial SSU rRNA". It matches the Rfam family "Bacterial small subunit ribosomal RNA", at positions 29 to 417 of the family's 1533-position model. The record is from RNAcentral.